UGAGUGCUUACUAUGUGCCAGGCACUUUAAAA
This 32-nucleotide non-coding RNA is filed under the name Mus musculus (house mouse). The record is from RNAcentral. Lineage: Eukaryota; Metazoa; Chordata; Mammalia; Rodentia; Muridae.